Molecule: ribosomal RNA, 881 nt
Filed under: Cylindrospermopsis raciborskii C03
Lineage: Bacteria; Bacillati; Cyanobacteriota; Cyanophyceae; Nostocales; Aphanizomenonaceae
Also listed under: 2 other names
Description: bacterial SSU rRNA
Rfam family: Bacterial small subunit ribosomal RNA
Source: RNAcentral
CUUAGGCAUCUAGUGGCGGACGGGUGAGUAACGCGUGAGAAUCUGGCUCCAGGUCGGGGAUAACAGUUGGAAACGACUGCUAAUACCGGAUGUGCCGAGAGGUGAAAGAUUUAUUGCCUGGAGAUGAGCUCGCGUCUGAUUAGCUAGUUGGUGGUGUAAGGGACCACCAAGGCGUCGAUCAGUAGCUGGUCUGAGAGGAUGAUCAGCCACACUGGGACUGAGACACGGCCCAGACUCCUACGGGAGGCAGCAGUGGGGAAUUUUCCGCAAUGGGCGAAAGCCUGACGGAGCAAUACCGCGUGAGGGAGGAAGGCUCUUGGGUCGUAAACCUCUUUUCUCAAGGAAGAAGAAAGUGACGGUACUUGAGGAAUAAGCAUCGGCUAACUCCGUGCCAGCAGCCGCGGUAAUACGGAGGAUGCAAGCGUUAUCCGGAAUGAUUGGGCGUAAAGGGUCUGCAGGUGGAACUGAAAGUCUGCUGUUAAAGAGUUUGGCUUAACCAAAUAAAAGCGGUGGAAACUACAGAACUAGAGUGCGGUAGGGGCAAAAGGAAUUCCUGGUGUAGCGGUGAAAUGCGUAGAUAUCAGGAAGAACACCGGUGGCGAAAGCGUUUUGCUAGACCGUAACUGACACUGAGGGACGAAAGCUAGGGGAGCGAAUGGGAUUAGAUACCCCAGUAGUCCUAGCCGUAAACGAUGGAUACUAGGCGUGGCUUGUAUCGACCCGAGCCGUGCCGGAGCUAACGCGUUAAGUAUCCCGCCUGGGGAGUACGCACGCAAGUGUGAAACUCAAAGGAAUUGACGGGGGCCCGCACAAGCGGUGGAGUAUGUGGUUUAAUUCGAUGCAACGCGAAGAACCUUACCAAGACUUGACAUCCUGCGAAU